Molecule: long non-coding RNA, 396 nt
Organism: Perca fluviatilis (European perch)
Lineage: Eukaryota; Metazoa; Chordata; Actinopteri; Perciformes; Percidae
Exons: 2
Source: RefSeq, a predicted model, not a curated record
GUGUGUUGUCUGUGUCUGUCUACAUGUCACUCAAGAGGAUCUAGGUCAAGGGGCGUGGCCACUCUCACCUGCUCUGCUCCAGCCAGCUGCAGCUCAUUCCAGUACUCAACCAACAGUUAUCUACCCGGGCUGUUCACCUCUUCAGCGCCAGUUCGUUGCAACCAUUCCUGUGAUCCCGCCUCUGGACCUGCUGCUUUUCGGUUCUCAUCUGCCUCCUCGCUGCCUGCUCACCUCGCAACUCCGUUCUCAACCAGCCUUUCCACCCAGCUCUCGUCUUCGCUGCCUGGCCACACACCCGCCGUCUGAUCUCCAGCUUCGACUCCACCUGGAGCUGCUCUCCUGGCCAUUCCCUCCUGCACUAUCCACAUUGUGUCCAAUAAAACACUGCUAACCGCU